This 388-nucleotide ribosomal RNA is filed under the name uncultured bacterium. RNAcentral's name for it is "bacterial SSU rRNA". It matches the Rfam family "Bacterial small subunit ribosomal RNA", at positions 28 to 417 of the family's 1533-position model. The record is from RNAcentral.
GACGAACGCUGGCGGCGUGCUUAACACAUGCAAGUCGAGCGGUAAGGCCCUUUCGGGGUACGACGAGCGGCGAACGGGUGAGUAACACGUGGGUGACCUGCCCUCAGCUCUGGGAUAAGCCUGGGAAACCGGGUCUAAUACUGGAUAUGACUCCAUGACGCAUGUUGUGGGGUGGAAAGCCUUGUGCGGCUGAGGAUGGGCCCGCGGCCUAUCAGCUUGUUGGUGGGGUGAGGCCCUACCAAGGCGACGACGGGUAGCCGGCCUGAGAGGGCGACCGGCCACACUGGGACUGAGACACGGCCCAGACUCCUACGGGAGGCAGCAGUGGGGAAUCUUGCGCAAUGGGCGAAAGCCUGACGCAGCGACGCCGCGUGAGGGAUGACGGCCU